This 279-nucleotide ribosomal RNA is filed under the name uncultured bacterium. RNAcentral describes it as "partial 16S ribosomal RNA". It matches the Rfam family "Bacterial small subunit ribosomal RNA", at positions 506 to 784 of the family's 1533-position model. The record is from RNAcentral.
UGCCAGCCGCCGCGGUAAUACGAAGGGUGCUAGCGUUGUUCGGAAUUACUGGGCGUAAAGAGCAUGUAGGCGGUUUAUUAAGUUGGAUGUGAAAGCCCCGGGCUCAACCUGGGAAUGCCAUUCAAAACUGUAUGUCUAGAGAGUAAUAGAGGUAAGUGGAAUUUCCGGUGUAGCGGUGAAAUGCGUAGAUAUCGGAAGGAACAUCAGUGGCGAAGGCGACUUACUGGAUUAUUUCUGACACUGAGGCGCGAAAGCGUGGGGAGCGAACAGGAUUAGAUA